CUGGGGCUGCUCCGCAGGGCCUAAGCAAUGGGCAGAAGGGGCAGAGGAAUGUUGUCACUUGGACUCAGAAGGAUGAAUGGAGGAGAGAAAUCUGCUUGUACUCCUGCAUAUUGAGAGCAAACUUUCCCCAUAGAAGAUGGGAUAAGAAGGAUGACCACUGUCUGCUAGUCCCAGGCAACUUAGCAAACUGCCGGCUUUUAUCAAGGGUUGAAUCCAACUGAGGAAGGUGAUGGACCAACUCCAGCUCAAGCUGAUUUCAGUGAAACACCAGCUGCUAGCCUCCCUACACUUGUUGCACACAGCUGAUGCAAGACCAGAUAGAAUCAGUGAAGGAUGGCCCUCUAAUUUUUUC
Pelodiscus sinensis (Chinese soft-shelled turtle) is the source of this 352-nucleotide non-coding RNA. Lineage: Eukaryota; Metazoa; Chordata; Testudines; Trionychidae. The record is from RefSeq and is a predicted model, not a curated record.